This 254-nucleotide ribosomal RNA is filed under the name uncultured bacterium. RNAcentral's name for it is "partial 16S ribosomal RNA". It matches the Rfam family "Bacterial small subunit ribosomal RNA", at positions 524 to 776 of the family's 1533-position model. The record is from RNAcentral.
CACGUAGGGUGCGAGCGUUGUCCGGAAUUAUUGGGCGUAAAGAGCUCGUAGGCGGUGUGUCGCGUCGGCCGUGAAAACCUGCAGCUUAACUGUGGGCUUGCGGUCGAUACGGGCAUCACUGGAGUUCGGCAGGGGAGACUGGAAUUCCUGGUGUAGCGGUGAAAUGCGUAGAGAUCAGGAGGAACACCCGUGGCGAAGGCGGCUCCCUGGUCCGGUUCUGACGCUGAGACGCGAAAGCGCGGGGAGCGAACGGG